This 465-nucleotide ribosomal RNA is filed under the name uncultured bacterium. RNAcentral's name for it is "partial 16S ribosomal RNA". It matches the Rfam family "Bacterial small subunit ribosomal RNA", at positions 338 to 795 of the family's 1533-position model. The record is from RNAcentral.
CCUACGGGCGGCUGCAGUGGGGAAUAUUGCGCAAUGGACGAAAGUCUGACGCAGCGACGCCGCGUGAGGGAUGAAGGUUUUCGGAUCGUAAACCUCUGUCAGGAGGGAAGAAAGCGCAUGGCGCCAAUCAGCCAUGCGUUGACGGUACCUCCAAAGAAAGCGCCGGCUAACUCCGGCCCAGCAGCCGCGGUAAUGCGGAGGGCGCGAGCGUUGAUCGGAAUUACUGGGGGUAAAGCGCGCGUAGGCUGUUGUGGAAGGUGGGGGUGAAAUCCCACGGCCCAACCGUGGAACAGCCCUGGAUACUGCGGGACUUGAGUCCGGGAGAGGGUGGCGGAAUGCGAGGUGUAGGAGUGAAAUGCGUAGAUAUCGGGAGGAACAUCAGUGGCGAAGGCGGCCACCUGGACCGGUAUUGACGCUGAGGCGCGAAAGCGUGGGGAGCAAACAGGAUUAGAUACCCUUGUAGUC